GCCUGGGAUAGGUCAGUCAGCAGAGCAUGGGACUCUUAAUCUCAGAGUUGUGGGUUCAAGUCCUGUGUUGGGCA
Podarcis lilfordi (Lilford's wall lizard) is the source of this 74-nucleotide non-coding RNA. Lineage: Eukaryota; Metazoa; Chordata; Lepidosauria; Squamata; Lacertidae. The record is from the annotation of a GenBank genome assembly.